UCGUGGCGGCCCCCUUCACAUGCAAGUCGAGCGGAUGAAGGGAGCUUGCUCCUGGAUUCAGCGGCGGACGGGUGAGUAAUGCCUAGGAAUCUGCCUGGUAGUGGGGGAUAACGUUCCGAAAGGAACGCUAAUACCGCGUACGUCCUACGGGAGAAAGCAGGGGACCUUCGGGCCUUGCGCUAUCAGAUGAGCCUAGGUCGGAUUAGCUAGUUGGUGAGGUAAUGGCUCACCAAGGCGACGAUCCGUAACUGGUCUGAGAGGAUGAUCAGUCACACUGGAACUGAGACACGGUCCAGACUCCUACGGGAGGCAGCAGUGGGGAAUAUUGGACAAUGGGCGAAAGCCUGAUCCAGCCAUGCCGCGUGUGUGAAGAAGGUCUUCGGAUUGUAAAGCACUUUAAGUUGGGAGGAAGGGCUGUAGGCUAAUAUCCUGCGGUUUUGACGUUACCAACAGAAUAAGCACCGGCUAACUUCGUGCCAGCAGCCGCGGUAAUACGAAGGGUGCAAGCGUUAAUCGGAAUUACUGGGCGUAAAGCGCGCGUAGGUGGUUCGUUAAGUUGGAUGUGAAAGCCCCGGGCUCACCUGGGAACUGCAUCCAAAACUGGCGAGCUAGAGUACGGUAGAGGGUAGUGAAUUUCCUGUGUAGCGGUGAAUGCGUAGAUAUAGGAAGGAACACCAGUGACGACGCGACUACUUGAACUGAUACUGACACUGAGGUGCGAAGCGUGGGGAGCAAACAGGAUUAGAUACCCUGUUAGUCCACGCGUAUACGAUGCCAAUUAGCGUUGAAUCCUUGAGAUUUAUUGGCGCACUACCCCCUCAGUUGACGCUCGGGAGUCGGACGAAGGUAAAACUCACGAUGACUCGACCCCACAGCGGGGACUGGGGUGUAUUCA
RNAcentral lists this ribosomal RNA (895 nucleotides) under Pseudomonas sp. HW6. RNAcentral describes it as "bacterial SSU rRNA". It matches the Rfam family "Bacterial small subunit ribosomal RNA", at positions 37 to 949 of the family's 1533-position model. The record is from RNAcentral. Lineage: Bacteria; Pseudomonadati; Pseudomonadota; Gammaproteobacteria; Pseudomonadales; Pseudomonadaceae.